Molecule: ribosomal RNA, 669 nt
Filed under: uncultured bacterium
Lineage: Bacteria
Description: bacterial SSU rRNA
Rfam family: Bacterial small subunit ribosomal RNA
Source: RNAcentral
GAGUGGCGGACGGGUGAGUAACACGUAGGUAACCCGCCCAGAAGCGGGGGACAACAUUUGGAAACAGAUGCUAAUACCGCAUAACAGCGUUGUUCGCAUGAACAACGCUUAAAAGAUGGCUUCUCGCUAUCACUUCUGGAUGGACCUGCGGUGCAUUAGCUUGUUGGCGGGGUAACGGCCUACCAAGGCGAUGAUGCAUAGCCGAGUUGAGAGACUGAUCGGCCACAAUGGGACUGAGACACGGCCCAUACUCCUACGGGAGGCAGCAGUAGGGAAUCUUCCACAAUGGGCGCAAGCCUGAUGGAGCAACACCGCGUGAGUGAAGAAGGGUUUCGGCUCGUAAAGCUCUGUUGUUAAAGAAGAACACGUAUGAGAGUAACUGUUCAUACGUUGACGGUAUUUAACCAGAAAGUCACGGCUAACUACGUGCCAGCAGCCGCGGUAAUACGUAGGUGGCAAGCGUUAUCCGGAUUUAUUGGGCGUAAAGAGAGUGCAGGCGGUUUUCUAAGUCUGAUGUGAAAGCCUUCGGCUUAACCGGAGAAGUGCAUCGGAAACUGGAUAACUUGAGUGCAGAAGAGGGUAGUGGAACUCCAUGUGUAGCGGUGGAAUGCGUAGAUAUAUGGAAGAACACCAGUGGCGAAGGCGGCUACCUGGUCUGCAACUGACGCU